Molecule: long non-coding RNA, 4100 nt
Filed under: Coffea arabica (coffee)
Lineage: Eukaryota; Viridiplantae; Streptophyta; Magnoliopsida; Gentianales; Rubiaceae
Description: long non-coding RNA (CARA_LNC005086)
Source: RNAcentral
AAGAAGCUAAAUUUAGACCAAACACUCUCUCUCCUAGUCUCUCUCUUGGCCGAAUUCUCUGCAGCAAAAACACAACACAAAGUUGCCAUUUUCAUCCUCAAUUCUUGCACAAAAACUUCAUGGAUUCACACCAAAUUUGAACUACACUUAGCUUGUCACGUGGAGAGAUCAUCUAGCUAGAAAAAGGAGGAGUUUCUCACGGUUUCUUGGAGCAUCUUGAGGACCGAAAUUUCUGGUUUAAAGCAACAAGGAGGUAUAACCUCAUCCUACACCUUAAGCUUGGUUUAUGAUGGUAGAAAUGCAUCCUUAAGCUAUUGCAUGUGUAUGGGUAUCUUGAUAUUGUUGGAAAAAUGUGAAAGUGGGCUCUAUGGAUUCCCACACUUGGGUUGUUGCUGAUUUGAUGAUUGAUGGUGGAUAUAUUGUUGGUUUAGUGGUUAAAAUGAUGGAUUAAUGGUGUGUAAUUGACAGAAAUUUCAUUGGGUGCAAGAGGCAAAAGUUUCCGAUUUUACCCCUGCCUUGUCCGACCACUUUUGUGCAAAAUUUUGAAGUUCUAAUGGCUUGAUUAUGUUGUUUACAUGUUAUUGUGAGUGUGUACAAAAUUUCAUUGAAAAAUAACAUGAUUUGGUUGGUCAAAUGAAUUGAUUUCGAAAGUUAGCAAAUCUGGAAAAUGAUUCCCGUAUUGACCAGGCAGUCAUUUUGUAUCGGCUAUAACUCUUUACUCCGAUGUCGAAAUCAAGUGCCGUUUGCGGCAUUGGAAACUAGACAUUCCCAGCUUUCCAUUGGUACUAAAUUCGCGUUCUGGUUCCACUUGAGUGAGCCACACCAUUCGUUUGAAAAUCACUGCCCUGUUUCGUUGCUCUCCAGGAGACAGGACAGAAAUUUCUUCUUGAUGCUCAAAAACGAGCUGUUUGUGGAUAGAAUUUGGUAAUGGUUUCUUCUGAGAAAAUUCAGCUUUAUGAGAGAGCUUUCUAACGCCAUCAACCACGCUCAAUUCCAAGUUGAAUUGAGUGAGUUGUGGCCAUAUUUCGAAACUGAUGCAGUGAGUAAAAAUCCUCUUUUGACUAGUUAAAUGGCCUAGCUUGAUUUGGGACUUGUUGUUUUGGAAAAUUUGAUGUCCAACAUCUACCAAACUUUAUAUUAGAUGUUUCUUGGACUUUGUUUUACAAAUAAACCAGAUUUGGGUUGGUUGCUUUGGACAAAAUAUUUAAAAAGGAAAGAAGAGCUAGAAGACAGUUUUACCUUGGGAAAUUUCCUGAACUUUGAUGGUUUAGUUAACUACCUUCCCGUGUGAAUUUUCAAAUGAAAUUUGGUAGAAGAGUAAUCCUCAUAUGGAGGUUUAAUUGUACAAAAUUUGGUAAUAUUCUAAGACCAUUUUGAUAUGCAAAUGAUGUCACAAAAUUCGCUCAUCGAAUCUGGAAAACUUUUGUUUUCUCUUAGCCGAAUGGCCAAAUCUGAUUUGGAGAGUUUUAUUUCGAAAAUUUGGAUGUCAAUGGUCUUUAAAUUGCUCAGUGAAUGUUUAUGAACUCCUGGUUUCAAUAAUGGAGAGAUUUGGAACUGAUUUCAUGGUACAAAAAGUUUGUAAACAAAAGAAAAGUGAGAAGGUAGUUUAGCCUUGAAACUCUUCAUAAACUUUGGUUGUUUUAAUGACUACCUUACCGUGUGAGUUUUUGUAUGAAACUUGGUAGAAAUGUUGUUCACAUAUGGAAGAUUUAGUGUACCAAGUUUUAUGUAUUUCCACUGCCAACUUGAUGACCAAAUGAUAUUUCAAAUCUAGUUUUAAACCUGGAAAAUAGCCCAACAGUCUUAACUUUUUCAGCAACUUGGAGGUACUAUAUCUUGGUGCUCGAAACUCCGUUUCUCGUUCCGCUUGUUUUGUUAUACUCUUGGAUUGCAACACUAAUUGAUUUCCAAAUUUCAAAGGUUAGUUCAAAACAAGUGAAUUUUGCCGAAUUUCUAAAGUUGGCCAAAAACCAACUUAAAUCUGUCUUGGUAAUUCAAGUUACCAACUUUGAGCCAAAAUUUGAGUGCCUUUCACUUACAUUCGUGGAAAAGUGUCUUGUAAGAACUUUUAGUACUUUGAAAGAGGAUUCCAACAGUACCAAGUUUUCCAAUUUUGGACUUGUGAAGAGUGAAAUAUGAUUUUUCAAAUAUUACUUGUUAAAUCUGGAAUUUUUUAACUUAAAGGAAACUAAAGGUUUCAAACCCUCCAUUUUCCUUCAAUAUCAUUUGAUCGUUUUACAUUUGAUUUUAAAGAUGGAAAUCAGAUUUGUCUUGUAUUUUAAAACCCACUUUUGAACCUCGAGUUACACGAACUCUUAGACUUGCCUCUGCGUUAAUUUCUUAGAUUGUACUAGUGUACAAUUUUCCUCGAUAAUUAGAAUGAUUUUGAGUGGUAGUUGAUUAUUGUUGCUCAGGCACUCGAGGGAAUCUCCCAGAGGAACUCGGAGCGGACACCUAAAACGCUUGUUUGAGAACUACUCGCUUGUUUUGACUAGGUGAGUGUUCCAUAUAGGAAUACGUAAUUGGAAUAAGUCUAUGACAUGCUUAACCCAUGGUCAUUAAGUAUUUACCACACUCAUGCAUAUUUGAAUAAUGUAUACUUGAAUUGCUCGACAUGAAACACCUGAAGUAUGUAUAUUUGAACUAUUGAUAUGAAAUGCUUAAAGAGCAUACUUAUGUGAUUACUUGAAAUACUAGAUAUGAAAUGUUUGGAGAGCAUAUUUACAUGAUGUGUUUAAAUGAUUAAUUAUGCUAUGGAAGCAUAAGUCGGUUGGAGUGAAUCUCCUCGACUCUUACGUGGUGAAAGUGAAAAACGGCCAAUGGCGGCCUAUUGAAAUGACAUAUGUCUACCAAUUAACCGUAAUUACUACCGUUAACCGUUUACCGUUUACCGUUUACCGUGUUUACUUACCGUUUUCUAAUCUAUGUGGUUACUUGCCUACUUGAUUAUCUGCUUACGUGAUCACCAACUUACUUGAUUACUUGACCACCUGAUUACUUGAUUAUCAUAAAUUAUAUGCUCAUAUGAAGUGGGCCACGGUUUUAAGGCGAGUGUGUACUUUAUCUCACUCGACCUCCAAACAUGAUAAAUUUUUACUUUUGUCGAAUUACUUUGUUACCUGUGCAUGUUGUAAGCUAUAAGCUGAACUUGGGCCCCGCCUCGGUUACUGACCUACUCGAGCCAGGACUGGGCUCGGUCGGGUAGGUUGGAACCCUGGACAACCGUUUCGGUAUACUCGAGUAUUACCACUGGAGGGAUAAGGCGAUGGCCAGACCGUACCGUGGGGAUCGGAAGUCAUAAGGUGCAGAUGACCGACAGAGUUCCACUGGAACACCGUAUCCUACCGUAUAUGUUUACCUUGUAUCAUGAUAAUUGUUUCAUGCUAAAAUGUCAACAUGAAAUCCUGAACUAUGCCUGUGAUAUGCUCCAUACCUGUUACCUGACCAAUGUACUUAUAUCAUGAUACCUGUCUCAUGAUAAAUGUCUCAUACCAUGAUAAAUAUCUCAAAUUACUCGUACAAUGAUUAUCACCUCAUGAUAACACGCCAUUGUGUAACAUUGAACCAUGCAUAUGAUAUGCCCAACUUACUUGAUUUAUUUGAACUGUUAGAGUGUCUUGGAACCUCACUGGGCUGUGUAGCUCAUCCCACGUUGUGGUUUUCUUUUACAGGGUUCGAGACCAAGGGUGCUCGUGAGUAGUACUAGAUUGUUUUCUUUUGAAAACUUUAAGUUAUAUUAUAACGGAUGGCUAUUGUACCCUUUUCCGUUGGGUUGUAUUUAAGCUUGGAAGCUGCAUAAUUGUAAGUGUGAGAUAUUUGGAGUACUUUAAUUAUGUAUUGAAGUUACUUAAAGUAUUUCGAGCUUUUGAAUGAUGGAUUGUAGUGAGUCCUGGCGAGAGUUGGGCAGGCGUCCCGCGGAUACCCUUUGAUUCGCCUUAGGGAGAAGUGGGGGCGCUACAAUUAGGAGUAGUACCAGUGAACUUUCAUGGCAAAAUUUUGUAUACUCUAAAAUUUUAAGGGUUCAUUUCAUCUAAUAUAGCUUUUAUUAGAGGCACUUAUUAAGUGUAAUUUGAGACUUUUUAAAUGUAUUUAUUUCUUUA